This 253-nucleotide ribosomal RNA is filed under the name uncultured bacterium. Its description in RNAcentral is "partial 16S ribosomal RNA". It matches the Rfam family "Bacterial small subunit ribosomal RNA", at positions 524 to 776 of the family's 1533-position model. The record is from RNAcentral.
UACGGAGGGAGCUAGCGUUGUUCGGAAUUACUGGGCGUAAAGCGCACGCAGGCGGCUAUUCAAGUCGGGGGUGAAAGCCCGGGGCUCAACCCCGGAACUGCCCUCGAAACUAGGUAGCUAGAAUCUUGGAGAGGCGAGUGGAAUUCCGAGUGUAGAGGUGAAAUUCGUAGAUAUUCGGAAGAACACCAGUGGCGAAGGCGACUCGCUGGACAAGUAUUGACGCUGAGGUGCGAAAGCGUGGGGAGCAAACAGG